GACGAACGCUGGCGGCGUGCUUAACACAUGCAAGUCGAGCGGUAAGGCCUCGUCGGGGGUGCACGAGCGGCGAACGGGCGAGUAACACGUGGGUGACCUGCCCUCAGCUCUGGGAUAAGCAUGGGCAACUGGGUCUAAUACCUGAUAUGACCUUUCCCCGCCUGCGUUGUGGGGGUAAGUUAUUUCGGCUGGGGAGGGGCGGGCGGCCUAUUAGCUUGUUGGUUGGGUGGUUGCCUACCUAGGGGGCGGCGGGCAGCCUGCCGGGGAGAGCGACCGGCCAGAGUGGGAGUGAGACACGGGACAGACACGGGCGGGAGGCAGGAGGGGGGAAGAUUGCGGGAUGGGAGGAAGCCUGACGCAGCGACGCCGCGGGAGGGAGGACGGCCGUUGGGUUGUAGACCUCGUUCGUCACCGACGAAUUUGGACGGUAGGGGGAGAAGAAGCACCGGCCAACUACGUG
RNAcentral lists this ribosomal RNA (460 nucleotides) under uncultured bacterium. Its description in RNAcentral is "partial 16S ribosomal RNA". It matches the Rfam family "Bacterial small subunit ribosomal RNA", at positions 28 to 507 of the family's 1533-position model. The record is from RNAcentral.